RNAcentral lists this ribosomal RNA (466 nucleotides) under uncultured bacterium. RNAcentral describes it as "partial 16S ribosomal RNA". It matches the Rfam family "Bacterial small subunit ribosomal RNA", at positions 28 to 507 of the family's 1533-position model. The record is from RNAcentral.
GAUGAACGCUGGCGGCGUGCUUAACACAUGCAAGUCGAACGGAAAGGCCCAAGCUUGCUUGGGUACUCGAGUGGCGAACGGGUGAGUAACACGUGGGUGAUCUGCCCUGCACUUCGGGAUAAGCCUGGGAAACUGGGUCUAAUACCGGAUAGGACCACAUUUUGGAUGGUGUGGUGGAAAGUUUUUCGGUGUGGGAUGAGCUCGCGGCCUAUCAGCUUGUUGGUGGGGUAAUGGCCUACCAAGGCGUCGACGGGUAGCCGGCCUGAGAGGGUGUACGGCCACAUUGGGACUGAGAUACGGCCCAGACUCCUACGGGAGGCAGCAGUGGGGAAUAUUGCACAAUGGGCGCAAGCCUGAUGCAGCGACGCCGCGUGGGGGAUGACGGCCUUCGGGUUGGAAACUCCUUUCGCUAGGGACGAAGCGUUAUGUGACGGUACCUGGAGAAGAGGCACCGGCUAACUACGUG